This 457-nucleotide long non-coding RNA is filed under the name Nicotiana benthamiana. Its description in RNAcentral is "long non-coding RNA (NBEN_LNC029165)". The record is from RNAcentral. Lineage: Eukaryota; Viridiplantae; Streptophyta; Magnoliopsida; Solanales; Solanaceae.
CCAGACAUACGAACAUAGCAGACACUCAUAUAGCAAUAGUAUAUAGUGUCCUAAAUACAUUCAGUAGCAAAACUAAAUAAAAUUAAAACUUCAACUCGUCAAUUGUAUUCAUGCUUCAUAUUAUCAACUUAAAAUAGCCAGUGUUAUCAAAACUUCAAACUUCCAUUUUUAUAUGUAUUCAUGCUUCUACAUUUUUUCGGCUUACAAUAGCGAGGGUUAUAGUCGUGUACCUGGUAUUUAGAAAGCAAAGAAGAGGAAGAAGUCAGUAGUGCAGCAGUAGAACAACACAUCAACAACAGGUUCAACAACCAAAGCAGUAAGCCAGUAACCAAACAGUACAGGAAGAACUCAUGAAUAAAUUUAAAGACCAAGUAGAAAAUCCAACAAUAACCAGUGAAUUAGUAACAGUACUAGUUCUGAGCAGCUAAGGAAAGACCUCAUGAAUUCUUAAGUUCUG